GCCUACGGCCAUACCACCCUGAACGCGCCCGAUCUCGUCUGAUCUCGGAAGCUAAGCAGGGUCGGGCCUGGUUAGUAUUUGGAUGGGAGACAAGAAGGGCAGGAGCCCAGGGAG
Marmota marmota marmota (Alpine marmot) is the source of this 114-nucleotide ribosomal RNA. The record is from Ensembl. NCBI's taxonomy places the organism in Eukaryota, Metazoa, Chordata, Mammalia, Rodentia, Sciuridae.